Molecule: ribosomal RNA, 459 nt
Filed under: uncultured bacterium
Lineage: Bacteria
Description: partial 16S ribosomal RNA
Rfam family: Bacterial small subunit ribosomal RNA
Source: RNAcentral
CCUACGGGAGGCUGCAGUCGAGAAUCAUUCACAAUGGGGGAAACCCUGAUGGUGCGACGCCGCGUGGGGGAAUGAAGGUCUUCGGAUUGUAAACCUCUUUUGUCGGGGAACAAAGGCGCCCACGGGUGGGCGGAUGAGUGUACCCGAAGAAAAAGCAUCAGCUAACUCCGUGCCAGCAGCCGCGGUAAGCCGGAGGAUGCGAGCGUUAUCCGGAUUUAUUGGGUUUAAAGGGUGCGUAGGCGGACAGUCAAGUAAGCGGUAAAAAUGCGGUGCUCAACGCCGUAACGCCGUUGAAACUGGCAGUCUUGAGUGGGCGAGAAGUAUGCGGAAUGCGUGGUGUAGCGGUGAAAUGCAUAGAUAUCACGCAGAACUCCGAUUGCGAAGGCAGCAUACCGGCGCCCUACUGACGCUGAGGCACGAAAGCGUGGGUAUCGAACAGGAUUAGAUACCCUUGUAGUC